GGACAGGUGUCCGAGUGGCUGAAGGAGCCGGUCUCGAAAACCGGUGUGCCGGUAACGGUACCGAGGGUUCGAAUCCCUCCCUGUCCG
This 87-nucleotide transfer RNA is filed under the name Gemmatimonadota bacterium. RNAcentral's name for it is "Gemmatimonadetes bacterium (freshwater metagenome) tRNA-Ser". It matches the Rfam family "tRNA". Rfam says of the family: Transfer RNA (tRNA) molecules are approximately 80 nucleotides in length. Their secondary structure includes four short double-helical elements and three loops (D, anti-codon, and T loops). The record is from RNAcentral. Lineage: Bacteria; Pseudomonadati; Gemmatimonadota.